GCUAAUGCCGUGCCAGGGGCAGCGGUAAUAGGGGGGGUGCAAGCUUUAAUCGGAAUUACUGGGCGGAAAGCGUGCGCAGGCGGCUUAUUAAGUCAGAUGUGAAAUCCCUAGGCUCAACCUAGGAACUGCAUUUGAAACUAAUAAACUAGAGUAUCGUAGAGGGAGGUAGAAUUCCAGGUGUAGCGGUGAAAUGCGUAGAUAUCUGGAGGAAUACCAGUGGCGAAGGCGACCUCCUGGACGAAAACUGACGCUCAAGCACGAAGGCAUGGGGAGCAAACAGGAUUAGAUACCCCAGUAGUC
This 300-nucleotide ribosomal RNA is filed under the name uncultured Bacillus sp. RNAcentral's name for it is "bacterial SSU rRNA". It matches the Rfam family "Bacterial small subunit ribosomal RNA", at positions 496 to 795 of the family's 1533-position model. Lineage: Bacteria; Bacillati; Bacillota; Bacilli; Caryophanales; Bacillaceae. The record is from RNAcentral.